GAUGAAGAACGCAGCGAACUGCGAUGAGUAAUGUGAAUUGCAGAAUUCAGUGAAUCAUCGAGUCUUUGAACGCACAUUGCGCCCCCUGGCAUUCCGGGGGGCAUGCCUGUCCGAGCGUCAUUGCUGCCCUUCAAGCCCGGCUUGUGUGUUGGGUCGUCGUCCCCCCCGGGGGACGGGCCCGAAAGGCAGCGGCGGCACCGCGUCCGGUCCUCGAGCGUAUGGGGCUUUGUCACCCGCUCGAUUAGGGCCGGCCGGGCGCCAGCCGGCGUCUCCAACCUUCUAUUUUACCAGGUUGACCUCGGAUCAGGUAGGGAUACCCGCUGAACUUAAGCAUAUCAAUAAGCGGAGGA
RNAcentral lists this unclassified non-coding RNA (350 nucleotides) under soil metagenome. RNAcentral describes it as "partial contains 5.8S ribosomal RNA, internal transcribed spacer 2, and large subunit ribosomal RNA". The stretch from base 1 to 120 matches the Rfam family "5.8S ribosomal RNA", at positions 35 to 154 of the family's 154-position model. The record is from RNAcentral.